UAAAUGAACUGUUGUAAUAGCUAGAUAAAUAACUGACAUUAGCAGGGUUUAUCUUUGAUGAUACUUGAUCUGUGACAACUGAAAAUAGGAAGUCCAGCAACCCAUCAUCUGGAACAUGAGGACUUUUGGAGUUGGCAUCAGAGGAGGCGGAGAUAGAUCUUUAAGAGACUACCAGGAGUUGAGAUUAAAUAGAAAAACAAAAUCAAAUAAGAAUAGAUG
This 219-nucleotide unclassified non-coding RNA is filed under the name Hevea brasiliensis (rubber tree). The record is from RNAcentral. Lineage: Eukaryota; Viridiplantae; Streptophyta; Magnoliopsida; Malpighiales; Euphorbiaceae.